This 208-nucleotide ribosomal RNA is filed under the name uncultured bacterium. RNAcentral describes it as "partial 16S ribosomal RNA". It matches the Rfam family "Bacterial small subunit ribosomal RNA", at positions 1293 to 1500 of the family's 1533-position model. The record is from RNAcentral.
UCGGAUUGUAGUCUGCAACCCGACUACAUGAAGCCGGAAUCGCUAGUAAUCGCGGAUCAGAAUGCCGCGGUGAAUACGUUCCCGGGUCUUGUACACACCGCCCGUCACACCAUGGGAGUCGGGAAUGCCCGAAGUCAGUGACCCAACCCAAGGGAGGGAGCUGCCGAAGGCAGGCCUGGUGACUGGGGUGAAGUCGUAACAAGGUAAC